AGUUAUAUAGUUUUAAAAAAAAUAUUAAUUUUGUAAAUUAAUGAUAAAUUUAAUUUUAUAUUUUAUAACUU
This 71-nucleotide transfer RNA is filed under the name Apanteles gelechiidivoris. Its description in RNAcentral is "tRNA-Thr". Lineage: Eukaryota; Metazoa; Arthropoda; Insecta; Hymenoptera; Braconidae. The record is from RNAcentral.